Molecule: ribosomal RNA, 217 nt
Filed under: uncultured bacterium
Lineage: Bacteria
Description: partial 16S ribosomal RNA
Rfam family: Bacterial small subunit ribosomal RNA
Source: RNAcentral
UACGGAGGGGCUAGCGUUGUUCGGAAUUACUGGGCGUAAAGCGUGCGCAGGCGGUUUGUAAGUCUGACGUGAAAUCCCCGGGCUCAACCUGGGAAUUGCGUUGGAGACUGCAAGGCUAGAAUCUGGCAGAGGGGGUAGAAUUCCACGUGUAGCAGUGAAAUGCGUAGAGAUGUGGAGGAACACCGAUGGCGAAGGCAGCCCCUGGGUCAAGAUUGAC